UACGUAGGGUGCGAGCGUUGUCCGGAAUUAUUGGGCGUAAAGUGUGCGCAGGCGGCCGCGCAAGUCGAGUGUGAAAGCCCCGGGCUUAACUUGGGAAUUGCGCUCGAAACUACGUGGCUGGAGUGUGGCAGAGGAAGGUGGAAUUCCACGUGUAGCGGUGAAAUGCGUAGAGAUGUGGAGGAACACCAAUGGCGAAGGCAGCCUUCUGGGCCAACACUGACGCUCAUGCACGAAAGCGUGGGGAGCAAACAGG
This 253-nucleotide ribosomal RNA is filed under the name uncultured bacterium. Its description in RNAcentral is "partial 16S ribosomal RNA". It matches the Rfam family "Bacterial small subunit ribosomal RNA", at positions 524 to 776 of the family's 1533-position model. The record is from RNAcentral.